This 72-nucleotide transfer RNA is filed under the name Marmota marmota marmota (Alpine marmot). It matches the Rfam family "tRNA". Rfam says of the family: Transfer RNA (tRNA) molecules are approximately 80 nucleotides in length. Their secondary structure includes four short double-helical elements and three loops (D, anti-codon, and T loops). Lineage: Eukaryota; Metazoa; Chordata; Mammalia; Rodentia; Sciuridae. The record is from Rfam by way of RNAcentral. RNAcentral also lists the same sequence under 1 other name.
AGGGAUAUAACUCAGUGGUAGAGUACUUGCCUAGCAUGCAUGAGGCCCUAGGUUCAAUCCCCAAUACCACAA